GAAGUUUUCAGAGAUGAGAAUGUGCCUUCGGGAACCGUGAGACAGGUGCUGCAUGGCUGUCGUCAGCUCGUGUUGUGAAAUGUUGGGUUAAGUCCCGCAACGAGCGCAACCCUUAUCCUUUGUUGCCAGCGAUUAGGUCGGGAACUCAAAGGAGACUGCCAGUGAUAAACUGGAGGAAGGUGGGGAUGACGUCAAGUCAUCAUGGCCCUUACGACCAGGGCUACACACGUGCUACAAUGGCGCAUACAAAGAGAAGCGACCUCGCGAGAGCAAGCGGACCUCAUAAAGUGCGUCGUAGUCCGGAUUGGAGUCUGCAACUCGACUCCAUGAAGUCGGAAUCGCUAGUAAUCGUGGAUCAGAAUGCCACGGUGAAUACGUUCCCGGGCCUUGUACACACCGCCCGUCACACCAUGGGAGUGGGUUGCAAAAGAAGUAGGUAGCUUAACCUUCGGGAGGGCGCUUACCACUUUGUGAUUCAUGACUGGGGUGAAGUCGUAACAAGGUAACCGUAGGGGAACCUGCGGUUGGAUCACCUCCUUACCUUAAAGAA
This 550-nucleotide ribosomal RNA is filed under the name Salmonella enterica. RNAcentral's name for it is "bacterial SSU rRNA". It matches the Rfam family "Bacterial small subunit ribosomal RNA", at positions 993 to 1533 of the family's 1533-position model. RNAcentral also lists the same sequence under 4 other names. The record is from RNAcentral. Lineage: Bacteria; Pseudomonadati; Pseudomonadota; Gammaproteobacteria; Enterobacterales; Enterobacteriaceae.